RNAcentral lists this ribosomal RNA (465 nucleotides) under uncultured bacterium. RNAcentral describes it as "partial 16S ribosomal RNA". It matches the Rfam family "Bacterial small subunit ribosomal RNA", at positions 28 to 507 of the family's 1533-position model. The record is from RNAcentral.
GACGAACGCUGGCGGCGUGCUUAACACAUGCAAGUCGAACGGAAAGGCCCCCUUGUGGGGUACUCGAGUGGCGAACGGGUGAGUAACACGUGAGUAACCUACCCUUGACUUUGGGAUAACUUCAGGAAACUGGGGCUAAUACCGGAUAGGAGCUCCUGCUGCAUGGUGGGGGUUGGAAAGUUUCGGCGGUUGGGGAUGGACUCGCGGCUUAUCAGCUUGUUGGUGGGGUAGUGGCUCACCAAGGCUUUGACGGGUAGCCGGCCUGAGAGGGUGACCGGCCACAUUGGGCCUGAGAUACGGCCCAGACUCCUACGGGAGGCAGCAGUGGGGAAUAUUGCACAAUGGGCGGAAGCCUGAUGCAGCAACGCCGCGUGCGGGAUGACGGCCUUCGGGUUGUAAACCGCUUUCGCCUGUGACGAAGCGUGAGUGACGGUAAUGGGUAAAGAAGCACCGGCUAACUACGUG